CUCUGUGGUACGGACGGAGUACGAAACAAUCAAUUAUUCCUGGGGCAUCCGAGAGAAAAGAAAAAGGAAAAGACGUUAAACCGAGAGGGAGAAAGAUCAGCGUUUUCCAACCAAAAUUUGUAGAGGGGAGGCUAAAGAGAGACAGCUUCUGAAAAUGGCACUGAGAGCUGUAGGAAGACUCGUUUCUCAAAGGCUCUCCCAAGGAGCUUCUAGGAACUUUUGUUCGAAUGCAGUACCUUCUAAGAAUGCUCAGGUCAAGUCUAUGGAGCACCAGGGCAGCAACGAGAUUUUGGAGGAACUCGAUGAAGUCACCCGCGAUUGUAUGCAUCACAAUAAUUUCCUUGAAGCUAAACGUGACUCAAAAGCUUCCUAUAUAAACAUAUGAACUGUUUAUUUUUCGGCUGCAUUGAUUUAUUUUGGGCAAUCCAUUCAUAAUACAAAAAGCUCAUGCUCACAAACAAUCGUUGGGAUGCCACGCUGAGAGACACUUUCAUCUCA
This is a long non-coding RNA of Papaver somniferum (opium poppy), 498 nucleotides long. RefSeq lists it as uncharacterized. Lineage: Eukaryota; Viridiplantae; Streptophyta; Magnoliopsida; Ranunculales; Papaveraceae. The transcript is spliced from 4 exons. The record is from RefSeq and is a predicted model, not a curated record.